UCAGCGGCGGACGGGUGAGUAACACGUGGGCAACCUGCCUGUGAGACUGGGAUAACUUCGGGAAACCGGAGCUAAUACCGGAUAAUAUAAGGAACCUCCUGGUUCUUUAUUGAAAGAUGGUUUCGGCUAUCACUCACAGAUGGGCCCGCGGCGCAUUAGCUAGUUGGUGAGGUAACGGCUCACCAAGGCGACGAUGCGUAGCCGACCUGAGAGGGUGAUCGGCCACACUGGGACUGAGACACGGCCCAGACUCCUACGGGAGGCAGCAGUAGGGAAUCUUCCACAAUGGACGAAAGUCUGAUGGAGCAACGCCGCGUGAGCGAUGAAGGCCUUCGGGUCGUAAAGCUCUGUUGUUAGGGAAGAACAAGUGCGAGAGUAACUGCUCGCACCUUGACGGUACCUAACC
RNAcentral lists this ribosomal RNA (406 nucleotides) under bacterium 23D6. RNAcentral describes it as "bacterial SSU rRNA". It matches the Rfam family "Bacterial small subunit ribosomal RNA", at positions 92 to 484 of the family's 1533-position model. The record is from RNAcentral.